RNAcentral lists this ribosomal RNA (486 nucleotides) under uncultured bacterium. Its description in RNAcentral is "partial 16S ribosomal RNA". It matches the Rfam family "Bacterial small subunit ribosomal RNA", at positions 30 to 507 of the family's 1533-position model. The record is from RNAcentral.
AUUGAACGCUGGCGGCAUGCCUUACACAUGCAAGUCGAACGGCAGCACGGGUGCUUGCACCUGGUGGCGAGUGGCGAACGGGUGAGUAAUACAUCGGAACAUGUCCUGUAGUGGGGGAUAGCCCGGCGAAAGCCGGAUUAAUACCGCAUACGAUCUACGGAUGAAAGCGGGGGACCUUCGGGCCUCGCGCUAUAGGGUUGGCCGAUAGCUGAUUAGCUAGUUGGUGGGGUAAAGGCCUACCAAGGCGACGAUCAGUAGCUGGUCUGAGAGGACGACCAGCCACACUGGGACUGAGACACGGCCCAGACUCCUACGGGAGGCAGCAGUGGGGAAUUUUGGACAAUGGGCGAAAGCCUGAUCCAGCAAUGCCGCGUGUGUGAAGAAGGCCUUCGGGUUGUAAAGCACUUUUGUCCGGAAAGAAAUCCUUGGCUCUAAUACAGUCGGGGGAUGACGGUACCAGAAGAAUAAGCACCGGCUAACUACGUG